This 417-nucleotide ribosomal RNA is filed under the name uncultured bacterium. RNAcentral describes it as "bacterial SSU rRNA". It matches the Rfam family "Bacterial small subunit ribosomal RNA", at positions 147 to 559 of the family's 1533-position model. The record is from RNAcentral.
CUAUACCGAAGGAUAGCUAAUACCGCAUACGACCUGAGGGUGAAAGCGGGGACCGUAAGGCCUCGCGCGAUUGGAGCGGCCGAUAUCGGAUUAGCUAGUUGGUGAGGUAAAAGGCUCACCAAGGCGACGAUCCGUAGCUGGUCUGAGAGGACGACCAGCCACACUGGAACUGAGACACGGUCCAGACUCCUACGGGAGGCAGCAGUGGGGAAUUUUGGACAAUGGGGGCAACCCUGAUCCAGCCAUUCCGCGUGAGUGAAGAAGGCCUUCGGGUUGUAAAGCUCUUUCAGCAGGAACGAAACGGUGGUCCCUAAUACGGGCUACUAAUGACGGUACCUGAAGAAGAAGCACCGGCUAACUACGUGCCAGCAGCCGCGGUAAUACGUAGGGUGCGAGCGUUAAUCGGAAUUACUGGGC